GACGAACGCUGGCGGCGUGCUUAACACAUGCAAGUCGAACGGAAAGGCCCUGCUUGCAGGGUACUCGAGUGGCGAACGGGUGAGUAACACGUGGGUGAUCUGCCCUGCACUUCGGGAUAAGCUUGGGAAACUGGGUCUAAUACCGGAUAGGAACCAUCUUUAGUGUGGUGGUUGGAAAGUUUUUUCGGUGUAGGAUGAGCUCGCGGCCUAUCAGCUUGUUGGUGGGGUAAUGGCCUACCAGGGCGGCGACGGGUAGCCGGCCUGAGAGGGUGUACGGCCACAUUGGGACUGAGAUACGGCCCAGACUCCUACGGGAGGCAGCAGUGGGGAAUAUUGCACAAUGGGCGCAAGCCUGAUGCAGCGACGCCGCGUGGGGGAUGAAGGCCUUCGGGUUGUAAACUCCUUUCGCUAGGGACGAAGCUUUGUUGUGACGGUACCUAGAUAAGAAGCACCGGCUAACUACGUG
RNAcentral lists this ribosomal RNA (466 nucleotides) under uncultured bacterium. Its description in RNAcentral is "partial 16S ribosomal RNA". It matches the Rfam family "Bacterial small subunit ribosomal RNA", at positions 28 to 507 of the family's 1533-position model. The record is from RNAcentral.